Molecule: ribosomal RNA, 398 nt
Filed under: uncultured bacterium
Lineage: Bacteria
Description: partial 16S ribosomal RNA
Rfam family: Bacterial small subunit ribosomal RNA
Source: RNAcentral
AUACGUAGGGUGCGAGCGUUGUCCGGAAUUACUGGGCGUAAAGAGCUCGUAGGUGGUUUGUCGCGUCGUCUGUGAAAUUCCGGGGCUUAACUCCGGGCGUGCAGGCGAUACGGGCAUAACUUGAGUACUGUAGGGGAGACUGGAAUUCCUGGUGUAGCGGUGAAAUGCGCAGAUAUCAGGAGGAACACCGGUGGCGAAGGCGGUGCUCUGGGCAGUAACUGACGCUGAGGAGCGAAAGCAUGGGUAGCGAACAGGAUUAGAUACCCUGGUAGUCCAUGCCGUAAACGGUGGGCGCUAGGUGUAGGGGUCUUCCACGACUUCUGUGCCGUAGCUAACGCAUUAAGCGCCCCGCCUGGGGAGUACGGCCGCAAGGCUAAAACUCAAAUGAAUUGACGGGG